This 496-nucleotide ribosomal RNA is filed under the name uncultured bacterium. RNAcentral's name for it is "partial 16S ribosomal RNA". It matches the Rfam family "Bacterial small subunit ribosomal RNA", at positions 29 to 507 of the family's 1533-position model. The record is from RNAcentral.
AUGAACGCUGGCGGCGUGCCUAAUACCUGCAAGUCGAGCGAACGGACGAGAAGCUUGCUUUUCUGAUGUUAGCGGCGGACGGGUGAGUAACACGUGGAUAACCUACCUAUAAGACUGGGAUAACUUCGGGAAACCGGAGCUAAUACCGGAUAAUAUUUUGAACCGCAUGGUUCAAAAGUGAAAGACGGUCUUGCUGUCACUUAUAGAUGGAUCCGCGCUGCAUUAGCUAGUUGGUAAGGUAACGGCUUACCAAGGCAACGAUGCAUAGCCGACCUGAGAGGGUGAUCGGCCACACUGGAACUGAGACACGGUCCAGACUCCUACGGGAGGCAGCAGUAGGGAAUCUUCCGCAAAGGGCGAAAGCCUGACGGAGCAACGCCGCGUGAGUGAUGAAGGUCUUCGGAUCGUAAAACUCUGUUAUUAGGGAAGAACAUAUGUGUAAGUAACUGUGCACAUCUUGACGGUACCUAAUCAGAAAGCCACGGCUAACUACGUG